UGCAUGACUCUCGGCAACGGAUAUCUUGGCUCUCGCAUCGAUGAAGAACGUAGCAAAAUGCGAUACUUGGUGUGAAUUGCAGAAUCCCGUGAAUCAUCGAGUUUUUGAACGCAAGUAGCGCCCGAGGCCACCUGGUUGAGGGCACGACUGCCUGGGCGUCACGCUUUACGUCGCUUCAUGC
RNAcentral lists this ribosomal RNA (181 nucleotides) under Nothoscordum bivalve. Its description in RNAcentral is "5.8S ribosomal RNA". The stretch from base 6 to 161 matches the Rfam family "5.8S ribosomal RNA". Rfam says of the family: 5.8S ribosomal RNA (5.8S rRNA) is a component of the large subunit of the eukaryotic ribosome. It is transcribed by RNA polymerase I as part of the 45S precursor that also contains 18S and 28S rRNA. RNAcentral also lists the same sequence under 3 other names. Lineage: Eukaryota; Viridiplantae; Streptophyta; Magnoliopsida; Asparagales; Amaryllidaceae. The record is from RNAcentral.